Molecule: ribosomal RNA, 253 nt
Filed under: uncultured bacterium
Lineage: Bacteria
Description: partial 16S ribosomal RNA
Rfam family: Bacterial small subunit ribosomal RNA
Source: RNAcentral
UACAGAGGGUGCGAGCGUUAAUCGGAAUUACUGGGCGUAAAGCGUGCGUAGACGGUAGCGUAAGUCAGAUGUGAAAGCCCCGGGCUCAACCUGGGAAUUGCAUUUGAGACUGCUCUGCUCGGGUGCGGAAGAGGGAAGCGGAAUUUCCGGUGUAGCGGUGAAAUGCGUAGAUAUCGGAAGGAACACCAGUGGCGAAAGCGGCUACCUGGACCAGCACUGACACUGAAGCACGAAAGCGUGGGGAGCAAACAGG